This 1094-nucleotide long non-coding RNA is filed under the name Anser brachyrhynchus (Pink-footed goose). RNAcentral's name for it is "lncRNA (ENSABRG00000012125.1)". Lineage: Eukaryota; Metazoa; Chordata; Aves; Anseriformes; Anatidae. The record is from RNAcentral.
AUGGCAGCUUCCACCUCGCCGUGCUGCUGGCAGGACCGGCGCCUCGUGGCACCCUGGGCACUCCCACGCAGUGAUCUUUUUCCUCCGGGUGAGACAGCAGGAAGAGAGGUCUUGUCACUGCUGCCGCAGUGUAUCACGGCUGUGCUCUUUGUAGAAGAACUGAGGGUAGGCAGAAGCCAAAGGGCAGCGAUCCCACCCAAGCUCCCUCUGCUCCUGCAGGGCCUGAGAGGACCCCACAGCACAUCAGUGGUGUGCCUGUCCCCAGGCGGAGUAAACAGGAGAGGCUGAGUUGAGUUGCAGGCAUGUUUGGCGGAUACAUGCUUCCCCUGUGCCCUUGUUGACAGCCGCUGGAUGGAGAGAGGCAGCCGGUGUCAUGCUGAACUUCAGUCUCCCAGCGAUGUGUGUGCUUCCAUGGCAGAAUGGAUCAGUGAAAAAGAAAUAAGAGCUCUGAGGUCAGGACUGCACACUUUGGGGCUGAGGCUUUGCUGCAGCAGGGUACUGCGGUGCUCUUGGAAGAGAAGUAUGGGUUGGGCUGAUAGUGGACACAAUGGUCCUCAUAACUCCUAAGUUGUCAGCAUGUAGUGAUUUGGGAUCUGUACUGCCAUUCAGGUGAGAAAAUCUUCUUGAGGUGCCCACUGGCCUCAACCUGAUGAUCUGGAAGUGAAAUGAAAUCAGACCAAGGAACAGCUGAUGUAUUUUCCUUGGUUUUAUUCCCAGUACCGCAGGUCGCACUGGUUUAGCAAUUUUUUGUAGGAGUGGAUUGCACAGAGGGAAUGUAAGGCUUAAUUAGUUUGCAAAGUGCUUGGAGAUCUUUGAGGAAAGGCAAAAUAGAUGCAGAAAGUUACCUUUCCUCCUCCUCAGAGGCUGUGUUUCAGUAAUGGAUGAAGUGACCCCUAAAAUAUAAUACUAAUUCUGCAGAGCACUUGGGAGUUGUUCUGAAUCAAAGGUGCUAUGCAAAUGCAUCCUCACUUUCCUUUACCAGUCCCCGUGAGCCAGCCAGUCCACCAUUAGUGGCGAUUCUCAUUUAAUCAGAAUUCAGCCUUCAAAUUUUCUGCAAGUCCAUAGAUAAAUAAAGCAGCAGCCGUGGUUGAUCA